Molecule: ribosomal RNA, 411 nt
Filed under: uncultured Gammaproteobacteria bacterium
Lineage: Bacteria; Pseudomonadati; Pseudomonadota; Gammaproteobacteria
Description: bacterial SSU rRNA
Rfam family: Bacterial small subunit ribosomal RNA
Source: RNAcentral
AAAGCGUGCGUAGGCGGUUAUUUAAGUCUGUUGUGAAAUCCCCGGGCUCAACCUGGGAAUGGCAAUGGAUACUGGAUAGCUAGAGUGUGAUAGAGGAUGGUGGAAUUCCCGGUGUAGCGGUGAAAUGCGUAGAGAUCGGGAGGAACAUCAGUGGCGAAGGCGGCCAUCUGGAUCAACACUGACGCUGAGGCACGAAAGCGUGGGGAGCAAACAGGAUUAGAUACCCUGGUAGUCCACGCCCUAAACGAUGCGAACUGGAUGUUGGUCUCAACUCGGAGAUCAGUGUCGAAGCUAACGCGUUAAGUUCGCCGCCUGGGGAGUACGGUCGCAAGACUGAAACUCAAAGGAAUUGACGGGGGCCCGCACAAGCGGUGGAGUAUGUGGUUUAAUUCGAUGCAACGCGAAGAACCU